RNAcentral lists this ribosomal RNA (119 nucleotides) under Triticum dicoccoides. Lineage: Eukaryota; Viridiplantae; Streptophyta; Magnoliopsida; Poales; Poaceae. The record is from RNAcentral.
GGAUGUGAUCAUACGAGCACUAAAGCAUCGGAUUCCAUCAGAACUCCGAAGUUAAGCGUGCUUGGGCGAGAGUUGUACUAGGAUGGGUGACCUCCUGGGAAUUCCUCGUGUUGCAUUCC